Long non-coding RNA from Misgurnus anguillicaudatus (oriental weatherfish), 1476 nucleotides. RefSeq lists it as uncharacterized. The record is from RefSeq and is a predicted model, not a curated record. NCBI's taxonomy places the organism in Eukaryota, Metazoa, Chordata, Actinopteri, Cypriniformes, Cobitidae.
UUAAAUUCGUCCCUGUUUGGAUCCUAAGGAAUGAAUGGGGCUAGGCUAAAUGCUAACACAUUCACGAUGCACUGUAAAAAGAUUAAAAGCAUGCAUUGAAAAAAUAUAGGCAUGUAUUUAUUAGUCUAAGUUUAAGUAAGAACAUAGUAAAAUAUUGAAAAACUGUGGUGUUUUCCUUUAAAAACACAUAAAGUAGCUAUGGUAGCCAGCCCCCACAGGACUGUCAUCGUCUGAGACAACGUAGUGACAAAACGUCGAUUCGUCUAUUAGGGCUAUGGUGGCGCUAAGGGGACCCUCGGUGCAUGUAGAAAAAAGCCGUUUCUCAAUCGGAAGGCUCCAGCCUCCGGAAGUCGCAUAUGCAGGCUGCAUACGUCAUCAAGCCUGGUUAAUUUAAGUUAACUGAGCAUUAUAUUCGCCAAUCAUAAGCAUAUUACAACAAUUUACGAUUAACUAAGAAUAACAGUCAACUUCAUAAUGGUUAAUAUUCUGAAAUAAGACCGUCUUGAUGACGUAUGCAGCCUAGAAAUGCGACCUCCGGAGGCUGCAGCCUUUGGAUUGAGAAACGGACAAAAACGGCACAGUCUAGGUUGGAUAAUAAUAAUACAGUUCAUUAUGUAAGCGGGCACAUAACUGGUACGCAGGUACGCAUGCGCACCAGACACUGUUCUAAAAAGGCGCUUUUGCGUACGUUAUUUUGUUACAUUUACCUAAUUUACUGCAACAUAAGGAAUUUCUUCGUGCAUCAUUGGUAUCUGUGAGGUGUCAAACCUUUCCAGUGCCCGGAACUUCCAAGCCAUCGACAGGACGCGGGAUCUCAAUGCUCUUGACCUGGCCGUAUUUGGAGCACUCUUCCUUGACGUCUUCCACGAUCUCCUCAUACUCUUCAUCAUCAAGCAGUUCCUCUGGAGCUACCAUGUUCAUAAGACACAAGACCUCUGUUGGAAUGCCUCCCAUCUGGUUGACUGAACUGUUCAUGAGACCUGGCACUUGCAGGGUCACAGGAGUCUGGUUUAUUCCCGUCUUCAGAGGAAAAGAGAAAUAAAGCGUGUCAAUAUUCAGGUUGCAACAAAUGUUUUUAAGUUGCAGUACACACUCUCCUCCUUCUUACCAGUGUGGUGUUCUUGGACCCCACACUUGCUCUUUGGACCAGGAGUUUCUUGUCACCCAGCUGCAUUCCAUUUAGACCCGCAAUAGCCUGUGAUAGUCAACAGCUUGAAUCAAAAAGGUGCAAUCAAAAUAUCUUAAAAACGCUGAACUGGGAUGUUUGUUUAUGUGAUUUGCAGAAUGACUGUAGACAGAUUACGGUUUCAAAGCGAUAAUUCGCCGAAAAAAAUAAAAUUACCCCAUGAUUUACUCACCCUCAAGCCAUCCGAGAUACACGUGUCUAUCAUCUUUCAAAUGGACACAUUUUCAGGUAUUUUAGAAAAGUCUUAGCUGAUCCAAGCUUUAUAAUGUUUGAAAAUGGGGUCUACUUGC